UAGGCUAUGCUUAAGAUAUUAAAAAUCUACCCUCCCUCCCACCACCCGCCAAAAAGUUUUUGGCGGGCUAAUUAGAAUAUUAACAUCGUCUGCUGCUUUCGUUAACAGUUUUCAGUUUCGAAAAACCAGCAAAGAGAGACGAAGCAUGGACGAAGUUCCAGAUUUUAUAUUAUAGAAAACUGAACGGAUCACUGGUUUUGGAAAAAAACUUGUACGUGGCUGCAAUAGAAAUACUUAGAUUUCAGGUCUGAGCCAGCCAUCGUAACCACAAGAUGUGCAAGUUUUGAUACUGACCAGUCAUCACCAACAAUCUCAGCAUCAUCAAUCGAAUAAACAACUCCUAGUUUAAUUGGGAAAACUAUGUCCUCGUGUACACCCGUGUGAGUGUGGGGGUAUUCACGAAGGCCCCUUUUCCUAUCCUGCUGCCUGGCGUCAACGUCAACUUUACUGAGGAUUGGUACAUGUGGAUGCCUGGCUGUGGAUGCCUGGCUGUGGAUGCCUGGCUGUGGAUGCCUGGCUGUGGAUGCCUGGCUGUGGAUGCC
This is a long non-coding RNA of Daphnia pulex (common water flea), 542 nucleotides long. RefSeq lists it as uncharacterized. Lineage: Eukaryota; Metazoa; Arthropoda; Branchiopoda; Diplostraca; Daphniidae. The transcript has 3 exons. The record is from RefSeq and is a predicted model, not a curated record.